Molecule: long non-coding RNA, 2797 nt
Filed under: Olea europaea subsp. europaea
Lineage: Eukaryota; Viridiplantae; Streptophyta; Magnoliopsida; Lamiales; Oleaceae
Source: RNAcentral
GAUAUUUUCUCCUCUACUUCUGCUCGCUUUCUAAUUUCAGAUGCUUUCUACUUUCUCUCUCUAGGGUUUCUGUUCUGCAGGUGGAGGUCGUAAUCUCUUCCCUGAAUUAGAAAAUGUUACAUUGUUAAAGCUUUCUAUUUUAUGCAAAAAAAAAAAAAAAAAAAAAACCUGAAUGAUUCUUCUAACUGACCUCUUACUUUUCUAUUUAUAUUUAUACACGUAUAUAAAUAUGUAUAUUUUUAUAGAUAUAUAGAUAGAUCCUCCUACUCCCCCCCAUGGCUCUGAUUUCCAUUUUUUUUUUUUCGUUUUUUUUUCUUUUGUUUUUUAUGGUCGUGGUUUCAGAUUCUGUAUUGUAUUGAAGAUGUGCUUUGCUUCUUUUUUCCUUAUUUCUAUCAAAGACCAAAGUUCUUUGACUUCUUUCUCGUCCCUCGAUCUCUUUAUAUUUCUUAUGGUAACUGACGAGAUAUACAUAUCAUCUGUUUGCAGUGAGUGUACUGUGAAAAUGGUGAUACAGAAGAUUCAGAUCAAGAAGUUGAUAACUUGACUGCACGCCAAGUGACCUUUUCAAAGAGAAGAAUAAGAAGAGGGGUUUUUAAGAAGGCUCAAGAACUCUCUACUCUUUGUGAUGCUGAGAUUGCUCUAAUUGUUUUUUCUGCCACUGGGAAAUUCUUCCAUUAUUCUAGCUCAAGGUAUUCUAAUUUCUUCUCUUGAUCUUCUCUCUCUUGAACACACACACACAACAUGCCACUGGGGACGAAGCUUUGAUGCCUUUGGCUACUGAGUUGUCAAUCACAUAGCUAGAUUUGUAUUGAAAACUAAAGAUAUUAAUAGACUAAAAAAAGAGGAAAAAUGAUUAGAGAGAACGUUCUUAAGAGAAGGUACGAAUUAAAUGGGCAGUAAUGGAAAUUAUUAGGUAGAAAAUUUAGCUCCAAUAUGGAUGCAAAUAAUCUAGAAGUGUGAUACAAAGGAUCGAACAAAGCUAGGGGCGAAUGGUACACUGAUAAAUCAUAUAUAUCACUUGUUUUUCUCCUAUUUGCGUUUGUAAAGUAGCUUUUGGUGAAGAUAUUGGGGCAGGGGAUGAUUUAGAGUUGAAACAACGAUGAUCAUGCAGGAAAAUGUGAAAACAAGGAUGGCACAAAACUGAAAGUAUUCUAGUAUCUUGUGUUGUUUUCAGCAAAUCUAUUGAUCUUCAAUAGUCGGUGAAUGCUAUUGAAUAUGUCCAUUUUGAGAGUUAAUGUGGGACUGCGGGUAGUACAAGUCAUGAGUGCAAUAUCGCCCUCAGUGAGAGAUGGCUUGGUUUCUGUGCUUUGUGUCCAAUGUUUGUACCUUGAACAUGUGAGAAAUUAGUUGUUUUCCUAUCCAAUAUUGUUUUAUCGAGAAAGUACAACGUUCAUAUAUUAAAAGUUUAAAAAUAAUGUGGUAUAAAAUGGUGUCACGUCCUGCAAUAGCGCCCUCAGUAAGAGAUGGCUUGGUUUCAGUGCUUUGUGUCCAAGGUUUGUAGCUUCAACAUGUGAGAAAUUAGUUGUUUUCCUAUCCAAUAUUGUUUUAUCAAGAGAGUACACCGUUCGUAUAUUAAAAGUUUAAAAAUAAUGUGGUAUAAAAUGGUGUCAUGUCCUGCAAAUGUCUUAAGUUGAAGUAUUUAGCUGCCCAUAAUUAUGAAAUUUGUGCAUGCCUUGUAGCUUCGACUAGAAAAUACUGAUUCUGGCUUGUACCAGAUUGGAUUGGUUAAAAAUCCAUUGGUUUACUAUUCAAUUAGAUAUCAUCUUUAACAGUUACACUGGUUGCUUCUAUUGCUUAAACAAGACAUAGACCUAUUGAAAUUUCAGAAGUUGGCGUCACAUUUACAUAUGUAAUGAAAAAUCUUUAUACAAGAAUCUGGAAGUAGUAAUCAACAUCUAUGAAAACACCUAAUUAAUUUAUGUUAUCUAAUAGCUUUAAUGGUUUAUUAUUAUAUAUUCUGACGUUCCAAAGUGGUAUUAAGUUCUUCAUACUCGUACAAGUAUAAAUAAGGUGGCUAUAGUUCUUGCUGGCACCUGAAAGGAAAAACUGAAAACUGAGAUAUAGCCGGUUAAGUUUAAUUCUACUGCGUCCAUUAUGAUUACUAUUUCUUUUUGAUAUUACUAAUAAAAUGUUGCAGAUCGAUAGAUGAUAAGGGUGGUAAAUAGGUUCUGACCUAGUUGGGACAUCCAGGUGAACAUAUUGAUUCGAAUUCUUAACAAUCUUACGCAAAAAAUAAAUGAAACUGCAUGCAUUUUCAAUGAACCUUCUAGAAUUUAAUAUGGUUGAAUGUAUGUACUGAAGUGGAAAAAAUAAAGCCAUACUGUUGAGUUUUGUAUUCAUCACAAAACAUGCAAUAAGUCACGCAAUUGAGUUGUCUAUUCGAUACCAAACAUGCUAUUCUAUUUAUAAAAUGUAUUUGACUUUUAUUUUGCCUUCCCCUAGUUUAAUUCGUUGAAAACAUUGUUCCCCAUGUUAUAUUCUGCAGCGUCAUGGAACUAACUAAAAGGCAUAGAAGGCAAUAAGAGAACUCGAGCAAAUUAGGGCAACCAUCUCUCCAACUUCAAGUGAGAUCACCCCAUUUAUAGACAAUUCGACUUUAAAUUUGUAGUUUGUGUUUACACUUUAUAUACUGAAAUCAUAACAAGAAAAUAAAGAUGAAUAAGGCUUCUGCAUCGAUUAAUGCAGUCAAUUUUAAACAUUACCAUAUGAGAUUAAAUAGUGCAAACAAGAUUAUUUCCAGAUCAUUAAAUGUAGGUUUAUGUUUAUAUUGUAUUUACCCUCAUGUUGGCAAUUAAAU